GGGAUAUGAUGAGUGGUCAUUACUCGCAAUAAAAUAAAAUAUGCGAGAAGAGCGUUCCAGCCCAGCCUGGUUACGACAAUUUGGGCGCUCUCAUUUUUACCAAUCUGAUCCC
RNAcentral lists this small nucleolar RNA (112 nucleotides) under Solanum tuberosum (potato). RNAcentral's name for it is "Small nucleolar RNA Z279/snoR105/snoR108". It matches the Rfam family "Small nucleolar RNA Z279/snoR105/snoR108". Rfam says of the family: This family includes the plant snoRNAs known as Z279, snoR105 and snoR108. All three are members of the C/D class of snoRNA which contain the C (UGAUGA) and D (CUGA) box motifs. Most of the members of the box C/D family function in directing site-specific 2'-O-methylation of substrate RNAs. Lineage: Eukaryota; Viridiplantae; Streptophyta; Magnoliopsida; Solanales; Solanaceae. The record is from Rfam by way of RNAcentral.